Molecule: ribosomal RNA, 497 nt
Filed under: uncultured bacterium
Lineage: Bacteria
Description: partial 16S ribosomal RNA
Rfam family: Bacterial small subunit ribosomal RNA
Source: RNAcentral
GAUGAACGCUGGCGGCGUGCCUAAUACAUGCAAGUCGAGCGAACAGAUGAGGAGCUUGCUCCUCUGACGUUAGCGGCGGACGGGUGAGUAACACGUGGAUAACCUACCUAUAAGACUGGGAUAACUACGGGAAACCGGAGCUAAUACCGGAUAAUAUAUUUAACCGCAUGGUUCAAUAGUGAAAGACGGUUUUGCUGUCACUUAUAGAUUGAUCCGCGCCGCAUUAGCUAGUUGGUAAGGUAACGGCUUACCAAGGCAACGAUGCGUAGCCGACCUGAGAGGGUGAUCGGCCACACUGGAACUGAGACACGGUCCAGACUCCUACGGGAGGCAGCAGUAGGGAAUCUUCCGCAAUGGGCGAAAGCCUGACGGAGCAACGCCGCGUGAGUGAUGAAGGUCUUCGGAUCGUAAAACUCUGUUAUUAGGGAAGAACAAAUGUGUAAGUAACUAUGCACGUCUUGACGGUACCUAAUCAGAAAGCCACGGCUAACUACGUG